GUGCCAGCAGCCGCGGUAAUACGUAGGUGGCAAGCGUUGUCCGGAUUUAUUGGGUUUAAAGGGUGCGUAGGCGGUCUAUUAAGUCAGUGGUGAAAUAUCGCAGCUUAACUGUGAGGGUGCCAUUGAUACUGAUGGACUUGAGUCAAGUCGAGGUAGGCGGAAUUGACGGUGUAGCGGUGAAAUGCUUAGAUAUCGUCAAGAACACCAAUAGUGAAGACAGCUUACUAGGCUUAAACUGACGCUGAGGCACGAAAGUGUGGGGAUCAAACAGGAUUAGAAACCCUCGUAGUCC
RNAcentral lists this ribosomal RNA (292 nucleotides) under uncultured bacterium. RNAcentral describes it as "partial 16S ribosomal RNA". It matches the Rfam family "Bacterial small subunit ribosomal RNA", at positions 505 to 796 of the family's 1533-position model. The record is from RNAcentral.